UGGUGAAAUGAUGGCAUACCAUCUUUCGGGACUGACACUAUAAAUGGAGAGUUCCUUCAGUAUACUGAUCACCU
Small nucleolar RNA from Boleophthalmus pectinirostris (great blue-spotted mudskipper), 74 nucleotides. RefSeq annotates it as small nucleolar RNA SNORD2. The record is from RefSeq and is a predicted model, not a curated record. Lineage: Eukaryota; Metazoa; Chordata; Actinopteri; Gobiiformes; Gobiidae. The transcript has a single exon.